UACGAAGGGUGCAAGCGUUACUCGGAAUCACUGGGCGUAAAGCGUGCGUAGGCGGUUCGUUAAGUCUGCUGUGAAAGCCCUGGGCUCAACCUGGGAACUGCAGUGGAUACUGGCGGACUAGAGUGUGAUAGAGGAUGGUGGAAUUCCCGGUGUAGCGGUGAAAUGCGUAGAGAUCGGGAGGAACACCAGUGGCGAAGGCGGCCAUCUGGAUCAACACUGACGCUGAGGCACGAAAGCGUGGGGGAG
RNAcentral lists this ribosomal RNA (246 nucleotides) under uncultured bacterium. RNAcentral describes it as "partial 16S ribosomal RNA". It matches the Rfam family "Bacterial small subunit ribosomal RNA", at positions 524 to 769 of the family's 1533-position model. The record is from RNAcentral.